GCCGGGCAUGGUGGCUUAUGCCUGUAAUCCCAGCACUUUGGGAGGCCGAGGCGGGUGGAUCACUUGAGGUCAGGAGUUCGAGACCAGCCUGGCCAACAUGGUGAAACCCUGCCUCUA
Molecule: non-coding RNA, 117 nt
Filed under: Nomascus leucogenys (northern white-cheeked gibbon)
Lineage: Eukaryota; Metazoa; Chordata; Mammalia; Primates; Hylobatidae
Source: Rfam by way of RNAcentral